UGUCCAGACUCCUACGGGAGGCAGCAGUGGGGAAUAUUGCACAAUGGGGGAAACCCUGAUGCAGCGACGCCGCGUGAGUGAAGAAGUAUUUCGGUAUGUAAAGCUCUAUCAGCAGGGAAGAAAAUGACGGUACCUGACCAAGAAGCCCCGGCUAACUACGUGCCAGCAGCCGCGGUAAUACGUAGGGGGCAAGCGUUAUCCGGAUUUACUGGGUGUAAAGGGAGCGUAGACGGCUGUGCAAGUCAGAAGUGAAAGCCCGGGGCUCAACCCCGGGACUGCUUUUGAAACUGCGUGGCUGGAGUGCAGGAGAGGUAAGCGGAAUUCCUGGUGUAGCGGUGAAAUGCGUAGAUAUCAGGAGGAACACCAGUGGCGAAGGCGGCUUACUGGACUGUAACUGACGUUGAGGCUCGAAAGCGUGGGGAGCAAACAGGAUUAGAUACCCUUGUA
RNAcentral lists this ribosomal RNA (447 nucleotides) under uncultured bacterium. Its description in RNAcentral is "bacterial SSU rRNA". It matches the Rfam family "Bacterial small subunit ribosomal RNA", at positions 328 to 792 of the family's 1533-position model. The record is from RNAcentral.